GGCGACGUGGCGAAGUGGCUAACGCGGCGGUCUGCAAAACCGUUAUUCAUGGGUUCGACUCCCAUCGUCGCCU
Molecule: transfer RNA, 73 nt
Filed under: Thermoleophilia bacterium
Lineage: Bacteria; Bacillati; Actinomycetota; Thermoleophilia
Also listed under: 1 other name
Description: tRNA-Cys
Rfam family: tRNA
About the family: Transfer RNA (tRNA) molecules are approximately 80 nucleotides in length. Their secondary structure includes four short double-helical elements and three loops (D, anti-codon, and T loops).
Source: RNAcentral